UUUGGCUGGUAGGAUGAGAUCUGAGCCAGAGCUUUAAAUGCUGCCGUUCUGCUCAGACUGUUUCCACUCUGAACCAUUUUUACGAGAUGGGGGGAAGCCCUCACAGCCACAAAGGUUUUGCUGUCAUGUCCAAGAACAAUUUCCCCAAGAAACUUAAUGAGAGAUGGCAUUAAUCCAACACUGCGAACCUGUACCUUAUUGUAUCUUUUCCUCUGGCAGAUAGUUUGCAAAUCUUUUAUUGCUUCCAGUACCAUAUCCUUUGAACUGGCUAAAGACAAAGCUGUCCGUGCAACCUUGAUCCUGGAUGCUUCAUUCCUUUCCAGCCAUUCCUCUAUUGUGGACUUCAGAGCUUUGUUUGUGUUGAAAGCCCUACUCACUAGCUUCUGCCCUGUGACUGGGCAGAAAAUGUCUGAUUUUUCAAACUUCUCAAACCAUUUAGUAAUUUCAUUCCUUUCAUAGGUUACUCCGGUUUCUAUGGUGACUGGAUUGUCCAUGAUCUUCUUUCCUAGUGGGCAAAAGAAAGUUUCAUAAAGAGGCUCCAUAUACUGAGUCGCCUGUGGCAAUGUGGUUAAGGAUCUGUUCAGGUUUCCAGGUUUUCUAGUGAUGUCAGAACUUGUGCUCCUUAAUGCCUCAAUUUUUUGAGGCAUAUUCAAGAACUGAUGAUCGUUUAUAGAAACAUCAACAUUAAUGGGAUAGAGAUCUGUCUCUUGUGGUGCUGGUUCCUCCUUCAGUUGCUUCUCCAAAGACAAUGUCCUUGUAUCAUGCUGCUUGGUCUUAACUGCAAGAGUUUGGCCAAUUCCAAAUUGGGCAUUCUGCAUCUCAUUUGAUAAUGACCAGAUAGCAACUUUAACAUAUUCUUGGUCUCCAAAUGUGGAAGAUGGUAUCAAGCUCAGGGAUUCUCCUGUGUGAUUUAUCACCCCCUCAAGCUGUGCUAUAAUGCUUCCUUGUUCAUUAUCUGAAAUUGCGUUAAUGAUUUCUUGGCAUCUCUUCACAAGAUCCUUGGCCAAGUCAACGUUUAGGGAUAGUGUUUGUAGAAUCUCUAUUGCAUUUUCUGGUGAAUUCUCUGCUUUGAGCAACUCCAUUAUGGCCAGAGAAGCCCUGUAAAGGUAGCAUCCAAAUUCAAUGAAGUUUUCAUGUUCUUUCUCUAUGCAUACAACUGCUGUCAUAAUCUCUGAAAUGGAUGCCAACAAGGACUCUGCAAGAUUUACAAUUGGCGUUGCAUCUUCCUUCAGCUGUAUAAAUGAAUGACAAAUUAUUAAACAUUCACUGUACCCAUCAGUCUUCAGGUUAAGGAACCUAUUUUUACAAAGGCAGUGAUAAGAUUCCCCAAUUCUGUCUUCACUCAAUUCAAACAAGGUCAGGUAUAGGUUCCCCACUAAUGGUACAUUGUGCUAAAAGCAUAUUUGUAACUUGUGUUCUUCAGAAAUUAAAAAAAUAAUUAAUCUAAUACAGAUCAAGAUCAGAACUUCAUGUAAAAAAGUCCAAAAAUUCACAACACAAACUGGCAUGACACAAAAUAUUUAAACGGAUGUAUAAGUUCCAUAAGUUAGCUAUUAGUAUUUCAGAUAUGUGGGAUUUUAUCUUUAAUGAUGUUUUCUGAAUUUCACAAGUUGACAAACUUAAAAGACAAGAAUACUAUAAUUACUAUAUGUCUAUCCUUGUAGGACAGUAAUAUGCUUUCAAAUUUAUUUUCAGUGAUUGGGAAUGAGACUUGCUUGCAGCCUCUUAGUUAUUCACUGUAAGCUCAUUAACUUCUGAAAAUCUACAAAGAUCAUGUGAUUAGUGCAGUGUAGUAAAUACACUAUUCACAGUUCAAAUUAUAUGAAAUUGAGAAUCAUGAAAAUUUGGGAAUUCUCCCCACCAAGGAGAUAUAUGAGAUAUGAAGGUUAGUCGCUCCUAUUACUGCACUAAAACACCUGUAGAUAUUAUAUGAGAUGUGCUUUAGCUACUCAGAGUAGUUCAAAAUGAAUUCUCUCAUAAGACUCAGCUUAAUCAUGCUAAUGUCACUUUAAAAAAAAAUGCAUACAGAAACUAUGUUGCCUAUAGAAUUCAUCUAGAUAACAUCAACAAUAAGCUUAUAAGAACUUCAACCCUAUAAACUAAUUCAUACAUUCUACAAUCUUUAUCUCUACGAAAGGCUCAUCAACAUUGAGAGCAUCAUUGAGCUUUCAUACUGAGGUUCACAUAAAAGGAAAAGGAAAAAAGUUCUGAAAAGCUCCUACCGACAUCCAAUUGUAGCUGCUCUCACAAGACCUUCUGGUUUAUGAGCACCCAAUCUUGCAAAACCUGGACUGGUAACUUUCAUUAGGAGGAGAAGACAAUUAAAAGAAAGGGGUUUCAGCUAACCAUCACUUUCACGCUAGUGUUGGUCAAUGGCGGAUUUGGUCUGUUUUCCAGCUCCAAUUUUGUAACUUUUUUUGCUAUUCUAGAAUAAUUAUAUUAUUCAAGGUGACCAAUCAAUUUCCAUUGGAGAUAAUCUAGACUGCUAUGUUUUUGAAAGUCAUGGCAAACAAUCUACACUUAGAACCAUGUCAGUCCCUUGCAAACAAUUAGCAGCAUUCCUAUCAAUAUUAAGCCUCAGUUGAUUGAAUUUCUGAAGUUAUUCUACCCA
Quercus robur (English oak) is the source of this 2611-nucleotide long non-coding RNA. RefSeq lists it as uncharacterized. The record is from RefSeq and is a predicted model, not a curated record. NCBI's taxonomy places the organism in Eukaryota, Viridiplantae, Streptophyta, Magnoliopsida, Fagales, Fagaceae. The transcript has 3 exons.